AUGAGUGGUUAACCGAUGAUGA
Molecule: non-coding RNA, 22 nt
Filed under: Arabidopsis thaliana (thale cress)
Lineage: Eukaryota; Viridiplantae; Streptophyta; Magnoliopsida; Brassicales; Brassicaceae
Source: RNAcentral